AUCCACCAUACACCCGAAAGAAGAAGAAGAAGAAGAAGAGGAGUUCUCAGAUUUGGACGCUGCGUUGUAGGUUUGAAGAUCCAGCUGUGAUCAGCAGUUCCACACCUCUGUGCUCAGACUGCUCUGCUGGAGAAACACCAUCAGCUCACCUGCUGCAGAAAUAAAUACUAUCCUGUUUCAAGUCUUCUCAUGCCUCUGGUGUCAACUGAUAGAAUUUACCUGGAUAUAAUUUAGCUUCACAAAUACAGAUUCAGAAGAUUUCACAAAAAUAUUAAUCUGCUGAACGAAGGGGAGAAGAUGGAAUCCAGAAAAAUCUCCAAUACUCAGCCAAUAUCCUCUCCUACACCUAGCAGACAAAUGCAGAAAAGUACUGGCAAGAAAACUCACCACUGUUCAGACUGCGAAAAGAGUUUUACUACACAGAGUAAUCUACAACAACACCAGCGGGUUCACACAGGAGAGAAACCGUAUCACUGCUCAAAGUGUGGGAAGAGUUUUGCUGCACAGGGUAACCUGCAACAACACCAGCGCAUUCACACUGAAGAAAAACUCUAUCAUUGUUCAGACUGUGGGAAGAGUUUUGCUCAUAAGAGUUAUCUUAAAACACACCAACGCAUUCACACAGGAGAGAAACCGUAUCACUGCUCAAAGUGUGGGAAGAGUUUUGCUGCACAGGGUAACCUGCAACAACACCAGCGCAUUCACACUGAAGAAAAACUCUAUCAUUGUUCAGACUGUGGGAAGAGUUUUGCUCAUAAGAGUUAUCUUAAAACACACCAGCGCAUUCACACUGGAGAGAAACCUUAUCACUGCUCAGAUUGUGGGAAGAGUUUUACUACACAGGGUAUUCUAGAACACCACCAACGCAUUCACACUGGAGAGAAACUGUAUCAUUGUUCAGACUGUGGGAAGAGUUUUAAUCAUCAUCUCAAAAGACACCAACGCAUUCACACAGGAGAGAAACCGUAUCAUUGUUCAGACUGUGGGAAGAGUUUUUCUAGACUAAGUAUUCUUAAAAAACACCAGCACAUUCACACUGGAGUGAAACCAUAUCA
Molecule: long non-coding RNA, 1055 nt
Organism: Astyanax mexicanus (Mexican tetra)
Lineage: Eukaryota; Metazoa; Chordata; Actinopteri; Characiformes; Acestrorhamphidae
Exons: 3
Source: RefSeq, a predicted model, not a curated record